Cucurbita moschata (crookneck pumpkin) is the source of this 1357-nucleotide long non-coding RNA. RefSeq lists it as uncharacterized. The transcript is spliced from 4 exons. The record is from RefSeq and is a predicted model, not a curated record. Lineage: Eukaryota; Viridiplantae; Streptophyta; Magnoliopsida; Cucurbitales; Cucurbitaceae.
CUCUAUAAUAGCAUUAAAUUGGGUUUUACGCUUCAAAACUCUCUCUUUUGCACAUCCAUAGCCACACACAAACAAUAAAACUUCACCAAACAAACCCAAAAUGGUUGAUAUUCAUUUGGGGAAGCCUGCAAAUCUCUCUCUUCUGCUUCUGUUUAUGAGCUUGUUCAUAUUUGUGGUUUGUUUCCCACAUUAUUGCAACGCCUCAAGAGCUUCUUUCUCAAACUUCUCCAAAUACAACAGCCCUCCAACAAUAACAAAACCCCAUUUCCCCAGAAGAUUCAUCCCAAUCCCUUCCUCAACCCCCUCCAGAAAACACAACGAUAUUGGGUUCCAGACCUGACAGUCAAUCUGAGUUUUAGUGUACAGUUUAUAUGUAGAUUUAUUUACAGAGAUAUGAUCAGAGAAGUGACAAGAACGUACUCCAUUGUUCAUCAAGAUACCUGUUUUUGUUCGUAAUAUCAACUUCAACUGAAAACUGUUGCUCCCUAUAGUUGAUCAAACAAGUCGUCGAUUCUCGGGAGGAGGUACUUAUUCCUUUUAUAAGUGCGCUAACUCAACGAAUUCCUCAAACACAAACGAGUGCGUAGAACCUGAAUCAAAUAAUAUUAAAGCCAAAUGACCAAAGACAGGUAGUGUACCUGUAACAACUGCAUCAGGCGCGUUGACUUGCCUGGCUGUGGUUGCAUGGGCUACAGCUCGCCCCUGCUGCUGUUGGGCACCCCAACCCCUUUGAGUCUCUGUUGCAGGUAAUGGUAAGGGAUCCCUAUACGGCUAACAACCACAUUGCAAUAACCCACCUGACGCUUAGCCUAAUAGACUCGGCCCAAAUAUGCACACGCAAUCCAUGAUCAACUUGCACACUUGUAAGCUUACUUGAGACUUGCGUCUCACCCCAACUCGCAAUCUGUACGUGCAUUAGCUCCCCCUUCUACCACAUUUUAUAGUGUGUGGUCGUUGACUCCUUCGGCUCGGCUUGGCUUGGCUUGGUUUUGUGUAACUUCUCAACUUAAAAAUGGCUUAAUCGGCUCGGGUUUGACGUUUAGGACACUGUUCCUUACAUUUUUUACCCUCUUGAUGCUGAAUUCAACCUUAAUUAAGGCAAUUGAGGCCAAUAUAAGGGCCGAUGAUUGUUGGAAUAAUCUCGAAGGACAAACUCAAGUAUUUAAAUUUAGGGAGAACGUCUACUAAGGUAAACCAAGUAAGUGGCUUUACUAUCGGCUCGGUCGGAAGACUUAUCUAUGUAUGACGACACGUGCAAGACACGUGCCAAAUAACAUUGUGUCAUUUAUGCUUUAUGUACUAGUAUAAUAUGAUGUUAGAUUAUGAUGAUGAUGUGAACUAGUAUAAUAUGAUGUUA